Molecule: long non-coding RNA, 186 nt
Organism: Perca flavescens (yellow perch)
Lineage: Eukaryota; Metazoa; Chordata; Actinopteri; Perciformes; Percidae
Exons: 2
Source: RefSeq, a predicted model, not a curated record
AAGACGGCACGGGUAGCCUACUUGAAGCUGCGUCUCCAUCCGACAAAUUGACUGCUAUGCUGUCCAUGGGAUGACAGAUGACCAGUUGAUGAAAUAUGUCCCCAAGAUUGGAGACCGGAUAGCUAUUCGGCAGUACUGCAGAACAGAAGUGGCUGCACUGGAAGGAACCACCACAACAAUUUCUAA